GCUGGGCGUGGUGGCGCAUGCCUGUAGUCCCAGCUACUCGGGAGGCUGAGGUGGGAGAAUCGCUUGAACCCGGGAGGUGGAAGUUGCAGUGAGCCAAGAUCACGUCACUCUGCUCCGACCUGGGUAACAGAGCAAGACUCCAUCUCAA
Molecule: unclassified non-coding RNA, 148 nt
Organism: Papio anubis (olive baboon)
Lineage: Eukaryota; Metazoa; Chordata; Mammalia; Primates; Cercopithecidae
Rfam family: Metazoan signal recognition particle RNA
About the family: The signal recognition particle (SRP) is a universally conserved ribonucleoprotein. It is involved in the co-translational targeting of proteins to membranes.
Source: Ensembl